RNAcentral lists this ribosomal RNA (253 nucleotides) under uncultured bacterium. RNAcentral's name for it is "partial 16S ribosomal RNA". It matches the Rfam family "Bacterial small subunit ribosomal RNA", at positions 524 to 776 of the family's 1533-position model. The record is from RNAcentral.
UACGUAGGGACCGAGCGUUGUCCGGAUUCAUUGGGCGUAAAGAGCUCGUAGGCGGCCGCUCAAGUCGAAUGUGAAACCUCGAGGCUCAACCUCGAGCCUGCAUUCGAUACUGGGCGGCUAGAGUCUGGUAGGGGGAUCUGGAAUUCCUGGUGUAGCGGUGGAAUGCGCAGAUAUCAGGAGGAACACCGGUGGCGAAGGCGGGAUCCUGGGCCAGUACUGACGCUGAGGAGCGAAAGCGUGGGGAGCAAACAGG